CGCGGCCUAUCAGCUUGUUGGUGAGGUAAUGGCUCACCAAGGCGACGACGGGUAGCCGGCCUGAGAGGGCGACCGGCCACACUGGGACUGAGACACGGCCCAGACUCCUACGGGAGGCAGCAGUGGGGAAUAUUGCACAAUGGGCGAAAGCCUGAUGCAGCGACGCCGCGUGAGGGAUGACGGCCUUCGGGUUGUAAACCUCUUUCAGCUCCGAAGAAGCGAGAGUGACGGUAGGAGCAGAAGAAGCACCGGCUAACUACGUGCCAGCAGCCGCGGUAAUACGUAGGGUGCAAGCGUUGUCCGGAAUUAUUGGGCGUAAAGAGCUCGUAGGUGGUUCGUCGCGUCUGCUGUGAAAGUCCGAGGCUUAACCUCGGAUCUGCAGUGGGUACGGGCGGACUAGAGUGCGGUAGAGGAGAUGGGAAUUCCUGGUGUAGCGGUGGAAUGCGCAGAUAUCAGGAGGAACACCGGUGGCGAAGGCGCAUCUCUGGGCCGUAACUGACGCUGAGGAGCGAAAGCAUGGGGAGCAAACAGGCUUAGAUACCCUGGUAGUCCAUGCCGUAAACGUUGGGCGCUAGGUGUGGGGUCCUAUCCACGGAUUCCGUGCCGCAGCUAACGCAUUAAGCGCCCCGCCUGGGGAGUACGG
This 643-nucleotide ribosomal RNA is filed under the name uncultured bacterium. RNAcentral's name for it is "bacterial SSU rRNA". It matches the Rfam family "Bacterial small subunit ribosomal RNA", at positions 232 to 885 of the family's 1533-position model. The record is from RNAcentral.